AAUACGGGGGGUGCAAACGUUGCUCGGAAUUAUUGGGCGUAAAGCGCACGUAGGCGGUCCCUUAAGUCGGGUGUGAAAGCCCUCGGCUUAACCGAGGAAGUGCAUUCGAAACUGGGGGACUUGAGUACUGGAGAGGAUGGCGGAAUUCCCGGUGUAGAGGUGAAAUUCGUAGAUAUCGGGAGGAACACCAGCGGCGAAGGCGGCCAUCUGGACAGAUACUAACGCUGAGGUGCGAAAGCGUGGGGAGCAAACA
RNAcentral lists this ribosomal RNA (253 nucleotides) under uncultured prokaryote. Its description in RNAcentral is "partial 16S ribosomal RNA". It matches the Rfam family "Bacterial small subunit ribosomal RNA", at positions 522 to 774 of the family's 1533-position model. The record is from RNAcentral.